UCUUGCAAGAUAAUUCUCUCUCUCCCUCCACCCAUUUUCGAGCUCUCUCUCUCUCUUUCCCUUCAUCUCUCAUCUUCCUCCAUUAACAUCCAUGGUAGAACCUUCGAAGCUUCACCAAAAUAUGCCAAACACAUAAAUCACCAACAAAAUCCCACAUAAACACAACCUAGCUACUUAAAUUCAAGAGAAUCAUUGGAGAUUGCUCCCAAGGCUAGAGAGAGAAAGUGUGAUUGUUGGUGUAAAGUUUGGACACGAGCAGAGCAAGGAAGUAAGUAACUCCGCUUUGACGGGAGAUUUUGAGUAAGGUCUUCAGGCUAAGCGGGGAGCGAGAUUGGUCUGGUGCUGGUGGGGAACCGUUUCAAUCGAUGUGAUCAUAUUUAAUAUUGUCGUUAUGAUUGAUAGAGUCUUGAUGAUUAAAAAUACUUCGUUUCCUUUCGAAUCAAGUAAUAUACUCACGGUUAUGUGUCUUCAUACAUAUAAUCGGUUCGCCUUUUGCUGCGAUACUCUGCAUAUUAUGCUUCCUUAUGAAAAAUGAGCUAUACCCAUUUUGUUUU
Long non-coding RNA from Salvia miltiorrhiza (redroot sage), 554 nucleotides. RefSeq lists it as uncharacterized. The record is from RefSeq and is a predicted model, not a curated record. Lineage: Eukaryota; Viridiplantae; Streptophyta; Magnoliopsida; Lamiales; Lamiaceae. The transcript is spliced from 3 exons.